Molecule: microRNA precursor, 94 nt
Filed under: Branchiostoma floridae (Florida lancelet)
Lineage: Eukaryota; Metazoa; Chordata; Leptocardii; Amphioxiformes; Branchiostomatidae
Description: mir-2060 microRNA precursor family
Rfam family: mir-2060 microRNA precursor family
Source: Rfam by way of RNAcentral
ACUUACCUGUAUGUGGAUGGUGUUCAGCACCAGGGACAGAAGUGUUUACCUGUGUACGGAUGGUGUUUAGCACUAAGGACAGGUGUGUUACCUG